RNAcentral lists this ribosomal RNA (530 nucleotides) under uncultured Bacteroidota bacterium. RNAcentral's name for it is "bacterial SSU rRNA". It matches the Rfam family "Bacterial small subunit ribosomal RNA", at positions 215 to 741 of the family's 1533-position model. Lineage: Bacteria; Pseudomonadati; Bacteroidota. The record is from RNAcentral.
GCUAGUAUGAUGGGUUGUGCGUAUGAUUAGAUAGUUGGCGAGGUAACGGCUCACCAAGUCUACGAUCAUUAGCUGAUGUGAGAGCAUGAUCAGCCACACGGGCACUGAGACACGGGCCCGACUCCUACGGGAGGCAGCAGUAAGGAAUAUUGGUCAAUGGACGAAAGUCUGAACCAGCCAUGCCGCGUGAAGGAUUAAGGUCCUCUGGAUUGUAAACUUCUUUUAUAUGGGACGAAAAAAGGUCUUUCUAGAUCACUUGACGGUACCAUAUGAAUAAGCACCGGCUAACUCCGUGCCAGCAGCCGCGGUAAUACGGAGGGUGCAAGCGUUAUCCGGAUUCACUGGGUUUAAAGGGUGCGUAGGCGGGCAGGUAAGUCAGUGGUGAAAUCCUGGAGCUCAACUCCAGAACUGCCAUUGAUACUAUCUGUCUUGAAUAUUGUGGAGGUAAGCGGAAUAUGUCAUGUAGCGGUGAAAUGCUUAGAUAUGACAUAGAACACCCAUUGCGAAGGCCAGCUUACUACGCAUAUAUU